CGGGGUGUAGCACAGUUGGCUAGCGCGCUUGAUUUGGGAUCAAGAGGUCGGGGGUUCAAGUCCCUCCACCCCGA
RNAcentral lists this transfer RNA (74 nucleotides) under Elusimicrobiota bacterium. RNAcentral's name for it is "tRNA-Pro". It matches the Rfam family "tRNA". From Rfam's summary of the family: Transfer RNA (tRNA) molecules are approximately 80 nucleotides in length. The record is from RNAcentral. Lineage: Bacteria; Pseudomonadati; Elusimicrobiota.